GACGAACGCUGGCGGCGUGCCUAAUACAUGCAAGUCGAACGCUUCUUUCCUCCCGAGUGCUUGCACUCAAUUGGAAAGAGGAGUGGCGGACGGGUGAGUAACACGUGGGUAACCUACCCAUCAGAGGGGGAUGACACUUGGAAACAGGUGCUAAUACCGCAUAACAGUUUAUGCCGCAUGGCAUAAGAGUGAAAGGCGCUUUCGGGUGUCGCUGAUGGAUGGACCCGCGGUGCAUUAGCUAGUUGGUGAGGUAACGGCUCACCAAGGCCACGAUGCAUAGCCGACCUGAGAGGGUGAUCGGCCACACUGGGACUGAGACACGGCCCAGACUCCUACGGGAGGCAGCAGUAGGGAAUCUUUGGCAAUGGACGAAAGUCUGACCGAGCAACGCCGCGUGAGUGAAGAAGGUUUUCGGAUCGUAAAACUCUGUUGUUAGAGAAGAACAAGGACGUUAGUAACUGAACGUCCCCUGACGGUAUCUAACCAGAAAGCCACGGCUAACUACGUG
This 508-nucleotide ribosomal RNA is filed under the name uncultured bacterium. RNAcentral's name for it is "partial 16S ribosomal RNA". It matches the Rfam family "Bacterial small subunit ribosomal RNA", at positions 28 to 507 of the family's 1533-position model. The record is from RNAcentral.